Oncorhynchus tshawytscha (Chinook salmon) is the source of this 2601-nucleotide long non-coding RNA. The record is from Ensembl. NCBI's taxonomy places the organism in Eukaryota, Metazoa, Chordata, Actinopteri, Salmoniformes, Salmonidae.
CAGGUAAUGAAGCUGACACACACACACACAGGUAAGGAAGCUGUCAGUGGUGUCAGGGAGUAGAGGCUUAUGACGUAACUAUCCAACUGUAUAUUCUUACACAGCAUGGCAGUAGUGUGCAGAGGACACACACACACGGGCACACAGACACACACACACACAUACAGGUAGAGAGAGAACGAGAACAGAGAGAGAGAACAGAGAGGGAGAACAGAGAGACAGAGGGGAAGAACAGAGAGAGAGAGAACAGAGAGACAGAGAGGGAGAACAGAGAGAACGAGAACAGAGAGAGAGAGAGAGAACAGAGAGACAGAGGGAGAGAACAGAGAGACAGAGAGAGAACAGAGAGACAGAGGGAGAGAACAGAGAGACAGAGGGAGAGAACAGAGAGAGAGAGGGAGAGAACAGAGAGAGAGAGAACAGAGAGACAGAGAGAGAGAGAACAGAGAGAGAGAGGGAGAGAACAGAGAGACAGAGAGAGAGAGAACAGAGAGACAGAGAGAGAGAACAGAGAGAGAGAGGGAGAGAACAGAGAGAGAGAGAACAGAGAGGGAGAACAGAGAGAGAGGGGGAGAACAGAGAGAGAGAGAACAGAGAGACAGAGGGAGAGAACAGAGAGACAGAGAGAGAGAAUAGAGAGAGAGAGAACAGAGAGACAGAGGGAGAGAACAGAGAGACAGAGGGGGAGAACAGAGAGACAGAGGGAGAACAGAGAGACAGAGAGAGAACAGAGAGAGAGAGAGAGAGAACAGAGAGACAGAGGGAGAACAGAGAGACAGAGGGAGAACAGAGAGACAGAGAGAGAGAGAGAGAGAGAGAGAACAGAGAGACAGAGGGAGAACAGAGAGACAGAGGGAGAACAGAGAGAGAACAGAGAGAGAGAGAGAACAGAGAGAGAGAGAGAACAGAGACACAGAGAGGGAGAACAGAGAGACAGAGAGGGAGAACAGAGAGACAGAGAGGGAGAACAGAGAGACAGAGAGAGAGAACAGAGAGACAGAACAGAGAGACAGAGGGAGAACAGAGAGACAGAGAGGGAGAACAGAGAGACAGAGAGGGAGAACAGAGAGACAGAGGAGAGACAGAGAGGGAGAACAGAGAGACAGAGAGAGAACAGAGAGACAGAGAGGGAGAACAGAGAGAGAGAGAGAACAGAGAGAGAGAGAACAAAGAGAGAGAGAGAGAGAGAGAGAGAGAGAACAGAGAGAGAGAGAGAGAGAACAGAGAGACAGAGAGAGAACAGAGAGACAGAGAGGGAGAACAGAGAGAGAGAAGAACAGAGAGAGAGAGAGAGAGAGAACCGAGAGAGAGAGAGAGAGAACCAAGAGAGAGAGAGAGAGAACCGAGAGAGAGAGAACCGAGAGAGAGAGAGAGAGAGAACCGAGAGAGAGAGAGAGAGAGAGAGAACCGAGAGAGAGAGAGAGAGGGAGAACAGAGAGACAGAGAGAGAACCGAGAGAGAGAGAGAACCGAGAGAGAGAGAGAGAACCGAGAGAGAGAGAGAGAGAGAGAGAAACGAGAGAGAGAGAGAGAGAGAGAGAGAGAGAGAGAGAGAGAGAACCGAGAGAGAGAGAGAGAGAGAGAGAGAGAGAGAGAGAGAGAACAGAGAGAGUGAAGAGAACCGAGAGAGAGAGAGAACUGAGAGAGAGAGAGAGAACCGAGAGAGAGAGAACCGAGAGAGAGGGAGAACAGAGAGAGAGAGAGGGAGAACAGAGAGAGAACAGAGAGAGAGAGAACAGAGAGGGGGGUGGCGGAACACUGUUUCUAUGUAGUAAAACAGUAGGUUGUCUUGUUCCAUGAAUACUGUUCCUGCUGUGCUUGUGUGGUUCUGUCUCAGACCGGGGCCUUUACCCAGCUCUCCACAACAAACUGGAAGAAGAAAUGGCUUGUCAGGAAGUAGAGACAAUCAAUAUGUCGUCAGUCCAGUGUGGAUUUACUGGAAGAUAAUAUUAUGUCUUGCCAUGUUUCCAACCCCCUAGAGCCAGUUGAAAUGUCUGAUCUGUAAUCUUGAAAUACAUUCUUAUAGACACGCGAGUGCUCCUGUCUUCCUAAGGGACUCCUUUAAUCCACAUUAAGGUCCCCACGGGCCCUGGUCAAACGUAGUACACUACAUAGGGCAAAGGGUGCAAUUUGGGACGCACAUUUAGACUCCUCUGGCGUCCCUCUGGGUUGUCCAGUGGUAUUGGCUCCACUCUAAUAGGCUGUUUCUGUUGGUGUCUUAACCUUCAGCUGACUGAGCUGAGGAAGAGACCAGUCCACAGUCAUGCCUGGCUGUCAGUUCUACCCUGCUCAGUCACCCUCUACCCUGCUGACACUGUUAAACCUAUCAGUCCUCUACAGAUCAAUGGGUUUACAGCCCCAGGAACUGUGGCUCAACUCCAGCACUGACGGGGCAAUGAGACCCGCUGAGUGAGGAGGAAACUGCAAUGGAUACAGUUAUAGUGUAGUCAUUGUGAAAUGGCUAGCUAGUUGUGGUCGAGGGUCCCUGUUGUGAAAUGGCUAGCUAGUUGUGGUCGAGGGUCCCUGGUUGUGAAAUGGCUAGCUAGUUGUGGUCGAGGGUCCCUGGUUGUGAAAUGGCUAGCUAGUUGUGGUCGAGGGUCCC